Molecule: long non-coding RNA, 3566 nt
Organism: Oncorhynchus tshawytscha (Chinook salmon)
Lineage: Eukaryota; Metazoa; Chordata; Actinopteri; Salmoniformes; Salmonidae
Source: Ensembl
CAAUACAGUCCCAGAGGCUUGUUGGGGGGACCAUACCAAGGACUCCUGGUGACAGCUAGCUGAAAGAGCUACCCGGAUUCAUAUCGCACUGCGGGAGGAAGUGAAGAUGUGUCUGGCUCUUGCUAAGUGAUGUGUUCUCAGGGAGAGGGUUGGGCUUCACAUGGAAGCUGUUCGUCUGAGCUGUCUUAUUGUGGGUGACAUAUUCCUGAUACAGCACGUCCUACUCGAGUAUGCGGAGAGUGGUAAUUUGACCCAUGGUUUAGACGAUGAGGAUUUUGUUCCAAAAUAAGCAUAAGAGAUCCCUAGAUCUGGGUAGUGUCAUAUAUAUAUAUAUAUAUGUAAACAUUCAUACACAUAGCUCAUAUAUUAUACAGCGCCAAGCCAAACCGCCUGACUCAAGUCAUCUUACUUACCCCUGCUAAAACAGGAACCAGCUCACUCACCCAGCAAUAAAACUACCCCCCCUCAGCUUUGUUGUCUCCCGACCCCAGGAAACAAAGACAUUCCAUCGCAUGAACACAUACACCCAGCCAUAAAAACUGCCCCUCUACCUCACGAACCCCUGACACAAACAUCUCCUAGUAUAAACACACAUCUCACCCCCUCUACUGGUCGGGAGCUCAGAGAACAAGACACUGCUGUGCACCAAUGGGGCUUCUGAUCUGGCUAGAGCAGGUCCGCCUCCAACCCUUUGGGACCAGUCAGAAGACCAACACGACAAGACUCCACCUACAUAUUCCAUGUAUAAAAUCUGCUGUGACCAAUGUCUAGGUCUCUUUUUCACCUGACUCCUUACCGAGUUAAAUGAACUAGAUCUGUGCACGUAAAACUGCAGGACGAGAUAUCUUUGACUCAUUAAAACUGCCUUUUGUUACAACUGAAAUCCACUCUGUCCAGUGUCCGUGAUUUGGUCUCAACUCUCCAGUAUUUGAACACCAACAGUAGACAGGAAGUUAGAGUAGAGGUUGGGAAGGAUCUCUCAAUGGAGUUUUAUGUAGACCAAAAUGAAGACUCUAACUACAGGACAGUCUAGGACUCUGAGCCAUUAUGGCAUAUAUCGGUGCAGGUUCCCAUAUUGAUCGUGGACACAGGUCAUAGCUCAUUUGGAGAGAGAGGGCUAUAUGAAUCCACUCGCCCAGUAUGGAAGAAGGUAGAGUAGAGUGAAGAUGAGAGUUUUUGAUUGUAAUCAGGAGAGAGGGAUGUAUUGCAUAAAGAUACGCUUAACCCUUUAAAUAGAAAUGAAGGAGGAUCUAGGGUUGUAGUAUGGAGAUGACCAGGUCUUGGUCGAAACCCUAGUACGGUUCUGGGUAGAGGAGUUUGGGCCGGUAUGGUAAAGCUGUUCACGAAGGCAGGAAUGCCAGAUAAUGACAGUUGUAUUGAUUUGCACUAUUUAAAUCCCCAGGUUCCUCCCUUUACAGUGACCGGAGGAGAUUAUUACCGUUUGGCCCGGUACAGUACUCUUGGGAAAUGAUGUCAGGGCGAGGUUUUACCAACAGAUUGGACAGGAUUAUGCUCCAUUGUAAUGCCUUUGACACUCAUUCAACACCAAGACAUGAAGUAUAGCCAAAUGGGAGAAAAGAGCUAUUCCAUCUGAGUCUCUUAUUGACUAAGUACACAUUGAUAACAUUGGGGUUCCAAGGGGGGUGCCAGAUGAGUCCAAGCAAGAAAUCAGAUCCUAGCAGGAUUAGAGUUAAGCAUUUCCGGGGGGUCUACUCUCAUAAGAACGUGGACUGGAUUAAUUAUAUUUAUGAUAAUCAACAGCGCUUUAACAAGUAUACCAGAGAUGCUAUUAAAGGUUUUGUAGAACAGACUGAAGCAACCAGCUGGAUGGCUUGGCAGAAUUGAAUUGCAUUAGAUAUGUUAAUGGCUGAAAAGGGAGAAGUAUGCGUGAUUAUCAGGACCAUGUUUGUGCUUACAUCCCAAAUAACACAGCUCCGGACAAAUCAGUGCCCGAAGCCUCAGCUGGUUUGACCACCCUGGCUCACGGGUUGGCAGAAACUCUGGGGUGGAUACUUCUCUGACUGAUUGGGUUUUGAUAAUACGUUUGGAAAAUGGAAAAAUGUUAUGAUCACUGUGUUAUGGGCUACAUUCACCUGUGUGACUGUUUUAAUUUUAGGGGGCUGUUGUCUAAUUCCCUGUGUAUGAGGCCUUUUUUCCAGGACUCUGGAGUAAUCUAUGACAAUAGAUGGUGCGGUGUGGGCCGAUUCCAGGUUCUGACCCGAGGAGGACUGAAUGCCUGACUACAGAACAAGUGGACGAAUCGGGAUAUUUUAUUUGUGGGGAAUUUAUAUUUGAUGAGACAAUUUUUGAUGUUUAGGGAGGCUAGGUUGUAUCCCAUCUCAAUAUUAGACUGUUUUUUAAUAAAGAUUGUAACGAAAAUCCGGAUAAGAAGAGUUAUAAUUCUGAUGUAGGUUUAAGGGUUAAAUUAAGGUUAAGGUUAGAUUUGAUUAAUGAUGGGUGAAGAGUCGGAUAAACAUUUAUAAUAAUGUUGGUUAUGUGUCUAUUCAUAUGAUAAUCUGAUAAACCUUUAUAAUAAGGUUAAUUAUAAGUCUAUUCGUAUGAUAAAUCUGAUAAACCUUAAUAAUAAGGUUAGUUAUAAGUUUGUUCAUAUUUUAUUUUUUAUGUUUGAUAAAAUUAGAUGUAGAUUUGAACGUAUAAUAUUUAAUCAAAGGGAGGAUUGUUGGAGGAAAUUAUAGUUGAAAUGACUAUGUAUACAUUCCAAUCAGAACUGACUACUCCAAAUGCUAUAAUGUACUGUACAUAUAUGAAUUUUCUCUUGCUCCCAUUCCCAAUUGUAUAUAAUAUAGUCAGGAGUUUAGUAAUAAUGACGGUCUGUUCCUUUGUACAAAUGAAUGAACUAUCUCCAGAUGGCAGGGACGGACUAUCUCCAGACUGUCAAGAAUGCUGAUUUACAGUGACUGACCUUGGCUUUAGGAGAGGAGGGAAGGCUCGAGAACUAUAGGGCCUCUCUACCGGUGUCAUAUGAAGAGAUAGAACAUUUAGGAAACGCUGACGUCAUUUUCAGUUUAUAACCUGUGGUAAAAUGUGUAUGUACCCAGUACUCUCUUGAAUUAAACGCUGUUACCUGACUUUUAAGACCGGGGCUCUGUCCAUUUCUUAUAGAAAUAUUGGGUCUUUACAAUCCCUUUAGAAUGCAUUGACAGAGUAAUAAUUCUGAUUGGGAAAUAAUACAGAGGAAUUUAGAAUUCCACUAACAGUUCUGUAUUUAUUUUCUUAGUCAACCUUGUGUUCUGUUUUGCUAUGUUCUUGAACGUAGCCCUUUUUCUUUGUGUUCUUGAACAUAGCCCUGUCUUUCAUUUUUCUUCAUUGAUUUCACCUGUGUUAGUUACUCACCUGGUCUCAUCAGCUCCUUAUUUAGUUCAGCUCAUUCUGUUUGUGCCUUUGUGAGGUAUUGUUGGUAUUGACUCUAUUAAGCCUUUUCCUAGCUCUGCCUGUUUGCCUACCUGUGUAUGACCAUUGCCUGUCUGUUACCACGAUUCCUGCCUUCUGCGAAGGCGAAAUAAACACCUAGAGACCUCUUGUGGCAUGUCUUGUGUCUUGUGAAU